Non-coding RNA from Arachis ipaensis, 684 nucleotides. The record is from RefSeq and is a predicted model, not a curated record. Lineage: Eukaryota; Viridiplantae; Streptophyta; Magnoliopsida; Fabales; Fabaceae.
AGGCAAAUAGGACAACGUAGAAGGGAUAAAAUGGAAACUCGCAAUUGUUGAAAGAUUACAACUUAGUAAGAGAUACGAUUCUAGAUGAGAGAGAGUCAAGUUUAUGUAGAAGAAAGAUGAUUAGAUAUUUAGAUUAUGAAGCUGCUACUAGCUUUUGCUAAGGAGUGAGGAUUUUGUCUUCAAAAUCUGCAAGAGAUUGGGGCUUAGGGCUACUCAACAGAGGAUUUGGGUGGGAUGAUCUCCAAUUAAACAAAAUCCUAACUCAGUGCAUAUGCAGUGACAGAUUUAAAGAAGGGGAAACGAUUCUUCGAUUUUUUAGGUGAGAAGUCAACACCUGAAGGUGUGUUGCAACACGUAGAGGACGUGUUCAACGCGUGGCAAUAUCCUGGCCAACACUCGGGAGCGCGUUGAACACGUGGUAACAUCUUGGCCAACACAUCCGCGGAUAUACAGAUGUCUACAUAAAAUUCGCAAUCCAAUUUUAUUAGUGUGCGGAUCGAUUCAUAUCUACAAUUUUCGGAUCAGAUUCAGAUAAGCACCGCGGAUAUAUACAUCGAAUCCGAUUGAACACCCUAUUCUUGAUUUAAUUUUGUUUUUAAUAUGAAAAAUCUCGUGCAUUUUGCCAGAUGCCUUAUAGACUUCAAAAUUCAAAUGCUUCCCUUUUCAGAUUAACAUUUUUAUGAU